GGAUUGUGGCUCAGUGGUAGAGUGCUUGAAUAGCACAAGGGAGGCCUGGGUUCGAUCCUCAGUACCA
This 67-nucleotide transfer RNA is filed under the name Marmota monax (woodchuck). RNAcentral describes it as "tRNA.Ala". The record is from RNAcentral. Lineage: Eukaryota; Metazoa; Chordata; Mammalia; Rodentia; Sciuridae.